RNAcentral lists this ribosomal RNA (800 nucleotides) under uncultured Bacteroidota bacterium. RNAcentral's name for it is "bacterial SSU rRNA". It matches the Rfam family "Bacterial small subunit ribosomal RNA", at positions 1 to 799 of the family's 1533-position model. Lineage: Bacteria; Pseudomonadati; Bacteroidota. The record is from RNAcentral.
AGGAGAGUUUGAUCCUGGCUCAGGAUGAACGCUAGCGGCAGGCUUAACACAUGCAAGUCGAGGGGCAGCGCGGGGUAGCAAUACCCUGGCGGCGACCGGCGAAAGGGUGAGUAACGCGUGAGCAACGUGCCCGUAUGUGGGGGAUAGUCGAUGGAAACGUCGCGUAAUACCCCGUAACACAUUUCCCCGCAUGAGGAGAUGUUGAAAGAUUUAUUGCAUACGGAUCGGCUCGCGUGCCAUUAGGUAGACGGCGGGGUAACGGCCCACCGUGCCGACGAUGGCUAGGGGUUCUGAGAGGAAGGUCCCCCACAUUGGAACUGAGACACGGUCCAGACUCCUACGGGAGGCAGCAGUGAGGAAUAUUGGACAAUGGCCGGAAGGCUGAUCCAGCCAUGCCGCGUGCGGGAGGACGGCCCUAUGGGUUGUAAACCGCUUUUGCGAGGGAGCAAUAAGGGCAACGUGUUGCCCGAUGAGAGUACCUCGCGAAUAAGCAUCGGCUAACUCCGUGCCAGCAGCCGCGGUAAUACGGAGGAUGCAAGCGUUAUCCGGAUUUAUUGGGUUUAAAGGGUGCGUAGGCGGUUUGCUAAGCGGGAGGUGAAAUGCCGGCGCUCAACGUCGGAAGUGCCUCCCGAACUGGUGGACUGGAAUGACUCUGCCGUGGGAGGAAUGUGUAGUGUAGCGGUGAAAUGCUUAGAGAUUACACAGAACACCGAUUGCGAAGGCAUCUCACGAAGGGUUGAUUGACGCUGAGGCACGAAAGCGUGGGGAUCAAACAGGAUUAGAUACCAAGGUAGUCCCCU